UGGGGAAUCUUGCACAAUGGGGGCAACCCUGAUGCAGCGACGCCGCGUGAGCGAUGAAGCCCUUCGGGGCGUAAAGCUCUUUCGACCGGAACGAUAAUGACGGUACCGGGAGAAGAAGCUGCGGCUAACUACGUGCCAGCAGCCGCGGUAAUACGUAGGCAGCAAGCGUUGUUCGGAGUUACUGGGCGUAAAGAGUGCGUAGGCGGUUUUCUAAGUUCGGUGUGAAAUCUCCCGGCUUAACUGGGAGGGUGCGCCGAAGACUGGGAAGCUGGAGUGUGGGAAAGGCAGGCGGAAUUCCUGGUGUAGCGGUGAAAUGCGUAGAUAUCUGGAAGAACACCAGUGGCGAAGGCGGUCAACUGGCCCAUAACUGACACUCAUGCACGAAAGCGUGGGGAGCAAACA
RNAcentral lists this ribosomal RNA (402 nucleotides) under uncultured bacterium. RNAcentral describes it as "bacterial SSU rRNA". It matches the Rfam family "Bacterial small subunit ribosomal RNA", at positions 355 to 774 of the family's 1533-position model. The record is from RNAcentral.